RNAcentral lists this ribosomal RNA (345 nucleotides) under Sphaerolaimus hirsutus. RNAcentral's name for it is "SSU rRNA". It matches the Rfam family "Eukaryotic small subunit ribosomal RNA", at positions 88 to 433 of the family's 1831-position model. The record is from RNAcentral. RNAcentral also lists the same sequence under 1 other name. Lineage: Eukaryota; Metazoa; Nematoda; Chromadorea; Monhysterida; Sphaerolaimidae.
CGCGAAUAGCUCAUUACAACAGCCGUUGUUUCUUGGAUCUCAUCCUUACUUGGAUAACUGUCGAAAUGCGAGAGCUAAUACAUGCAAGAAGCCCUGACCUUUUGGGAUGGGUGCACUUAUUAGAGCAAAACCAAUCAGCCUCGGCUGUCACAUUGGUGAAUCUGAAUAACUGAGCGGAUUGCACUGGUCCUAGUACCGGCGACAUAUCCUUCAAGUGUCUGCCUUAUCAACUUUCGAUGGUAGUUUAUAUGCCUACCAUGGUUGUAACGGGUAACGGAAAAUCAGGGUUUGAUUCCGGAGAGGGCGCCCGAGAAAUGGCGACCACUUCCAAGGAAGGCAGCAGGC